This 108-nucleotide non-coding RNA is filed under the name Rhodoferax sp. RNAcentral describes it as "Glycine sequence". It matches the Rfam family "Glycine riboswitch aptamer". From Rfam's summary of the family: This family represents the bacterial glycine riboswitch. Glycine riboswitches usually consist of two metabolite-binding aptamers domains with similar structures in tandem. The record is from RNAcentral. RNAcentral also lists the same sequence under 1 other name. Lineage: Bacteria; Pseudomonadati; Pseudomonadota; Betaproteobacteria; Burkholderiales; Comamonadaceae.
AAAAAGCCGUCUGAAGAGACACCAUGCCAGCCAUGGUGCACCGAAGGAGCAACCCGCUGGCGCGUGCCGGUGGCGAAUCUCUCAGGUACCAAGGACAGGGGGAGCGGC